GACGAACGCUGCCGGCGUGCCUAAUACAUGCAAGUCGAACGAAGCUGUUUUAACUGGUGCUUGCACCGACUUAAACAACUGAGUGGCGAACGGGUGAGUAACACGUGGGUAACCUGCCCCAAGGCGGGGGAUAACAUUUGGAAACAGAUGCUAAUACCGCAUAACCACAGAAACCACAUGGUUUCUGUGUCAAAGAUGGUUUCGGCUAUCACUUUGGGAUGGACCCGCGGCGUAUUAGCUAGUUGGUAAGGUAAUGGCUUACCAAGGCAAUGAUACGUAGCCGAACUGAGAGGUUGAUCGGCCACAUUGGGACUGAGACACGGCCCAAACUCCUACGGGAGGCAGCAGUAGGGAAUCUUCCACAAUGGACGAAAGUCUGAUGGAGCAACGCCGCGUGAGUGAAGAAGGUUUUCGGAUCGUAAAACUCUGUUGUCAGAGAAGAACGUGUGCGAGAGUAACUGCUCGUGCAGUGACGGUAUCUGGCCAGAAAGCCACGGCUAACUACGUGCCAGCCGCCGCAGUAA
RNAcentral lists this ribosomal RNA (524 nucleotides) under uncultured bacterium. RNAcentral's name for it is "partial 16S ribosomal RNA". It matches the Rfam family "Bacterial small subunit ribosomal RNA", at positions 28 to 523 of the family's 1533-position model. The record is from RNAcentral.